GUUUUUUGUAAAGACAGAUGGCAGCUACACCUUAUAACAUGAGAAGAUUCUGAACUCUCAUUAAUCCUUGAGACAUGAGCUGAGCAAUGACAAAGCAGAGUAGGCUAACUAGCAAGUAGGCUGAAUAGCUGUAUUUGAUGACACAACAGUGACUGGAUUGCACUUUGACAGUGAUGAUAAGUUUAGCAGAGAUGCAGAACCUGGUGAGCUGGUAUUCAGAGAACAACCUGUCCCUCAACACCACACAGAAGGUAGGAUUCAAGGGAAUGAGGUUUUUACAUGUGGUUAACUAUCACAAGCUAGGACUGAUCAGAGCAUUAUAACGGGUUGCUCUGUGCAGUUCAUGAGGCACUUUUUAAAUCAUAUCAACACAAUGUGAAUAACUAGCAAAAAAGUCAAAAGUAUGAACACUGGAUAAGAGAAUUUGUGUGUGUGUGUGUGUUACCUCAGUAUCUCCAGUGUACAGUGUGAGUUCUUCAGUCCAUCAGAGAGCAGCUUCACUCCUGAAUCCUGCAGGAUAUUCUCACUCAGGUUCAGUUCUCUCAGUCUGGAGGAGUUUGAGCUGAGAACUGAGGACAGAGCUCUACAGCUUUCCUCUGUCAGGUUACACCUACGGAGGCUGAAAAAAAUGAGAGAUAGAUAUUAUUUAAAACUGUUUUCUUAAAUGAAGUCAAAUAUCAUUAUUGUAAAUGAUAGCUAGCUAUUAACUUCUGAUACUUGGAUUCAAUAAAAACAAUAACAUUGGGGUGUUGUUUAUAAGGGUUUUUUCUUCUCUCUCUCUCUCUCUCUCUCUCUCUCUCCAGACAUGAGCUGAGUAAUGACAAAGCAGAGUAGGCUAACUAGCAAGUGGGCUGAAAAGCUCUAUUUGGUAAGUUUCAUGUUAUUGUAUUCUGACUGCACCAAAAGGGCACAAGCACCAAUGAGACGAGACCUCAUGUGUUCCCUUAUGCUGUAUCUUGCUCUCUCAUUGGCUGUAGGUCAUAGUUGAUGUAUUUUUCAGUCAGAACUCAUUUCACACUGCAGGAUUUUGAGGCAUUGGUGAUUCUCUCAGAUUGUGUCUUUGGAAAUUCACACUGCGUGAUUGUCACUCCAACAAACACCAAUUUGCCUAUGAUUUCUGGCAUUUGUCUGCGAUUUUGCAAAACCUGUCAGGGACUGAAAAUCAGAGCUAAAAUCUUGCAUUGUGAACUCGGCAUUAAUGGCCAGUAUAACAGUGUAGCUGCCACUAGCAAUUAUGCCACAGUUAAAGUCACAGAGAUCAGACUUUUUCAGACUCCUGAAUCUAUUGACCUGUAUGUGUCUGAUUUCAUACAUUGUGUUGCUGAUACAUGAUUGGCUGAUUGGACAACUGAAUGCAAGUGCAGGUGUACAGGUGUUCCUAAUAAAGUGAAUGGUGAGUGUAUAAGUACACCCCCUUCAAGUAUAUGUUUUAUUUAUCAGGUGCUAAAAAAUAAUUGUGAUCCUCACCAACAUUUAUAAUCAGUUAUAAUAAUAAUAAAAAAAAAAUAUUUAGAAACCAAGGGACAAAUAAAUACAACCUUUAAUUUGGUAUGUGUUGCAUGUA
This is a long non-coding RNA of Hemibagrus wyckioides, 1564 nucleotides long. RefSeq lists it as uncharacterized. The transcript has 3 exons. The record is from RefSeq and is a predicted model, not a curated record. Lineage: Eukaryota; Metazoa; Chordata; Actinopteri; Siluriformes; Bagridae.